This is a long non-coding RNA of Cephus cinctus (wheat stem sawfly), 4770 nucleotides long. RefSeq lists it as uncharacterized. The transcript has 13 exons. Lineage: Eukaryota; Metazoa; Arthropoda; Insecta; Hymenoptera; Cephidae. The record is from RefSeq and is a predicted model, not a curated record.
AAAACCUGCCGUGGCAUCCAAGCCAUUCGAUUCUUGCUCGGACGAAAGUUACCCCAUCCACGUAGCAGUUAUUGUGAUGCGCACAACAUAUUUAUACCCGGAGUGUGUAUUGUUUCAUCGGGAACUACGCACAAAGGAUGGGAUCACAGCGUGCCGUUUGACCGGCUCGUUUUUACAUUUUUCAAUUUACCUCCAGUCAUACGUACACUUCAAUUUCCGCCCGAGUACCAAUGCUAAAAGGCUGAAGUGGAUUUUUAUACCGAACCAAUUCAACUCUUGAUAUAUUGAGUGUAUCUCGAGUACCAUGCAGACACUAUUUCCUGCUGUAAAAAUAUAUUCUUGCAACGGGAUAAGUAUACGGUAGUGACACACCGGCGACAUUGUGUUGCAAAACUGAGGGAACGGGUUGCCGGGGUCCCAGUGAGUUAUGGAUAUCGUGGGUGUGCCCUAGCGCGAUACGUCAGGACACCGGGGUACCUGCGUCACGUUUACGUUUUUGAUCAUCGAUUAAAUAAUUAGCAAGGAAUAACCAUCUGCACUCUCUGAUAGAGAAUGCGCGGUAAUUAAGAAACGGAUUAAUUACGAUGCGGGUCACGCGAGGAACGCCCUUGUGACACUACAGGUGACAAGGACAAAAGAAGGCUCAGUCCGGAAAUGUUAACUCAUUGAAUUUUCACCCCUAAAGCGGGUGGCUUUCGAGUUUCGACCCCUUAUACACAUCCCGCCGUUCUGAGGGUCCUAGAAAUUAGUGGGUGCAACUUUAUUAGCUCCUAUCACGGAAUUGAAAACGACAACCGUGAACCACCGGAGCUAUACUAGAAAAUCUUUUAACGCUCCUAUUCAUCAUCAGGCUAUUUCCUGUCAAUGGAACCACUAUUAUCUGAGAAUUACAACAACACAACAAGUCCUUUCGAGAGUCUCUCGAUUCAUAAUAAAUCAUCGGUGUCAGCGGCUUGUAAACCGUCAUUUCCCAUCAUUAUACAUUGAACGUCGUCGAAUAUCCAGUCGAGCGUAAAGGCCUCGUUUGAAACGCGCGCUUCUCUUCCGUUCUGCCCAAUUUCACCGAUUUUCCGUCGGCUUUGUGUCGGUUUAUCGUUUUCGAGGCUCGCACUGCCAAGAGAUCAUUAGUAUUAGCGUAAAAGCGGGUCUGAUAUUGUCGUGAAAUUUAUGACGUUUACCUGAGUCCUCCAAUACGGUCGCUACCAUAUACACGUCCGCAUAUGUCAUAGUUUUUCUCGUCUACCCAUAUAAGGGAUGGUAAAAUCAUAAAAUCAGAGACACACCCCUAGCAAUAAGAAUCAUGAACGCGCAGCGUCGAAGGAUUAUUUAUCGAGUUUACUAUUUACAAAGUGUCUAUAGCUAUACUAGGUAGCUCGGUAAGAGACUAGCAAGAACCAUGGGGUAAAAUUUACAGCGUACACUCAACACUAGGGUCGCGCAAAUCUUUUUGUAAACCGUGACAAAUGGCCGGACUAGUCGACCGGUUGUCACGCAAGAAAUUUCAAGGAUUCUUACCAAUGAGCGACGGCCAUAGAAAAAUCCCAUUCGAAUCCCAUAAGUUUUUCUAGACGCGCGUCAGCCCCGGAUAAAAUCGCUAUCUAUACACGGUAGCGGCUAACUAAUUCAAAGGGUACCGAAAGCCAAACGAUUUAUGGCUGUAAAUAUUGAGAUAAUCGAUAAAUCCACAUCAAUCACUUUCGCGCAGCCAUCGAACAAGAUAUAAGAAGAGGACGAAGAAGAAUGCUCUUAAGAAAAUGACGAAGAUCCUUAAGUAGGAUUUGGUUAUUCGUGUAAAUUCAUAGCCACAAUUAAAAAAAAAAAAGAUCAUAUGUCAAACCGUCACGCAUGACUCAGGCUCCUCUCUAGGUGUCCAUACUUCUGAUCUACGCCGUGUGAACAUUUUUCCAAAUAGCGUCGUCGUUCUAAAAGACAUUUGAAGGGUAACUGUUUGUACAAGCACCCCGGUAUUUUUAUCUGAAUGAUGGUGACUCAUAAAGAUCAGAGCGCACGCAUGUCCCCCAGCCUUUCGUCCUCACUUCUGCGUUUCAUACAGCCUUACUAUGGCCUAUAGCAUAUCCAUGUACGCUAGAUAGAAUAUAUGUAUACUAUCCGUACUUCUGUAUAUGAGUGCGUUUGGAAGGCUCGAGUGUGCUCGAAUGUGUACUUAGCGGCAAAGAACACACUCGCUUCGCAUGUUAGUAUAGAGAUUAUGUCGUCCAAGAAGUCUAUAGUUAGUUAAGGCUACCAUUCUUCGUUGGCAGCGGCGCUUUGAGACGUGGAAAAAAAUGUCGCCCUGCAACAAUUAGACAUUAAUUCUAUUGAGGGGUUUAAGGGGGUCAGCAUUCUUCUUCUUCUUCGCUCAAGAAGGAUUAACUUCCUUCGACGUAUGUAACGGUUGUACAUACGUAUGACUGAGAUCCAUCAGAGCCACCGUUAAGCAUCGAUUCGAAUUAUGGUAAACGACACCAACCAACCGGCUGGGUCUGGCUUUCAUCAGGGUUGCCUACACGAAGAUUAAACCUGUCUCCUGCCAGUUCCUUAUCAUUGCUUGUCGGAUAGUCGUGGAGUCGCCAAGCAGUCUUGCCUCGAGAGCUCGGCAACCCCGAAGGGCGAGAAGUUAAUGACGUUAAACGAAAGGGCGAGACGAGGAGUGUGGCUCGAUUCUAUAGCAAUUUUUCAAAAAGUAAAUGCCGAACACAUGGCCCUGCUGGUUCACGGGUUGACCGAAGGAAGGGUCCGAAGGGAAUCCAGUGACACAUGGCUUCCUAGCUCUGGCUGUGACUAUUGGGGUGACCAGUUCAGCUGUCCACUAGAAUGCAUUGGGUAAUGAGCCAUUGCGUGGACGGUUUUACUCCUAAUAAAAUCCAUAUCAAGGUCUAAGCUCGACACAUUCAUUUCUCCAUACCGGGAAGGAUCAUUUGGAAGACGACUGGUAGCCACUCUUGAAAUUAAUCGCGGCGAAUGAACAAGCGAGAACGAGUGUCUUUAUCUAUCUAUCUCGGUAGACGGCAGGCAUCGUGGGAGACAUAUUCCUGCGCUAUUUCCGGGCCUGUGCUUUUUAAACAGCCAUUCGACCGUGCUCUGACCUAACCACCCUCAUCUGGAACUAGGUGUAAACAUAUCACGCGUGCAGAUCAUACGUAUGGCGACGUACGAGGUGCUAGACGCAAUUGCUCAUCGCUCGUUGUACGAGGGAGAUUCGUCAAAAGAUUUCUCAUGCCAGACAUGUAAAUGAUAUUUAUCAUUGAGCGCGCUCUGACAAUUCGUUCAGUUGACUCACGAACGGCAGAACUAAAGGCAUUGAAGUGGAUGGAAUCCAUCGAAGAUUCUGAUGAAUGCAGAAAGACGUAUGCCGUAACAUGUAACGUAACGGCGAAUGGCGACUUUGAAAAACGUGCAGUUUCAACAGGUGCUUUUGCGAACUUGAAGUAUGCAGGUAAAUACGUUUUAUACUGUGGUCAUCCGAACCAGCCCAACUGGGAUGGAGCGAAAGAAAUGGGUAACAUCAGGCAGUUUGAGGCCAGGAGACAAGUUCGGGUCAAUUCCUCUUGAGCUUUACUCUCAUCAAGCUCCAUUCUCUUCUCUACUUGAGAAGAUUAGACUGUCACAAGCUUUUCCACGUUUCCACGUUUCACAAUGCGUGCCAGAAGGGGAAUCUCCAUUGAGUGACCGUAUCCACUCGAAACAAAAAUAAUUCUGUCCCUACAGAGUCGGGGCUAUGUAAGCCCUCGACAAUGGGGAUGAUAUUUUCUCUAAUGAACCAAGAUGAGUACACUCCAGUGCCAAUUACACUCGAGCCACGUUCCGUAUUCCGUGCUGACUGCUACUCGACUUGUCAUUUCAAAGUCGAAAUGUCGACGGGAGAGAACGUCGGGAAGAAAAGAAAAGAGUACGAGGAAGGAGAAGAAAGACGAAGAAACGUCACUGGAGUACCGGGAGAAAAUAAAUCAUCGUGCUUAUUCGGUUUCAGUUCAACUGGACGGGAUAUAUGGAAUCGUGCAAUCUUCUCUUCCCUAUUGAGGUCCUUGGAAAUCACCUUCGGGACAAACCUUACGGGGUUGCUCGAGGGCUUCUGUAAAUUCGCAACCAGUGAAUUCGAACCCUCGGCCAAAUGAAAUCACGCUCGAUCUAACGUUAUGCAAAUACAGCGGUCACUAUCUGGUCAGUUUUGCAUAUGAAUGCCAAGGGGAACGGUACACUUAGGUCCUAGGUAUAUACGACUCUAAGAUGAUGCUAAUCAGCACCCGAAAAUCUACCCCGUGGAAUGGUUCGUUUGGUUUAGUGCUUUCCAGGGUCAGCGAUGAAUGGACAGCCGGUUGGAACCGGAGGACCUUGGUACCUAAUGGUCUUGACAGGACCGUUUUUUAUCAGGACACAGUCCCACGAAGAAUUUGAAAAUGAAAUGAACAUCUUUUGUAUAUCGCGUAUGAAAAUAUUACAGAUAUCUGGAAGCAAUGUUAGAAAAUUAUAGAAAGUCGUACAAGCUGGUUUUAAGAGUCCCAACGGCACCAAAUGGUUUCGACGACCGUGCUAUAGAGAAUAUAAUCCCAUGGGGUAGCACCUACUUCGCUCGAUACAUGUAAAAGUAUUGUCGCUUAUGUUAAGCAAUAAAUUGUUAAAUGAGACACAGCUAGACCGACAAUUGUUGUCCGUUUAUCUGUACCGACGGUAUUACCCGGAGGGUGCGCACCCUCUGAUUAAAAAUUCUCGCGUGGUUAAGCCUCUGAUAAUGAUCUUCCCUAACCCUUCUGCCUCUGGGGUUUAUACAAG